This 468-nucleotide ribosomal RNA is filed under the name uncultured bacterium. RNAcentral's name for it is "partial 16S ribosomal RNA". It matches the Rfam family "Bacterial small subunit ribosomal RNA", at positions 28 to 507 of the family's 1533-position model. The record is from RNAcentral.
GACGAACGCUGGCGGCGUGCUUAACACAUGCAAGUCGAACGGAAAGGCCCGGCGUUUGUUGGGUGCUCGAGUGGCGAACGGGUGAGUAACACGUGAGUAACCUGCCCUUGACUUUGUGAUAACUUCAGGAAACUGGGGCUAAUACCGGAGAGGAUCUCCUGCUGCAUGGUGGGGGUUGGAAAGUUUCGGCGGUUGGGGAUGGACUCGCAGCUUAUCAGCUUGUUGGUGGGGUAGUGGCUUACCACGGCUUUGACGGGUAGCCGGCCUGAGAGGGUGACCGGCGACAUUGGGACUGAGAUACGGCCCAGACUGCUACGGGAGGCAGCAGUGAGGAAUAUUGCACAAUGGGGGGAAGCCAGAUGUAGCAACGCCGCGUGCGGGAUGACGGCCUUCGGGUUGUAAACCGAUUUGGCCUGUGACGAAGAGUGAGUGACGGUACUGGGUAAAGAAGCACCGGCUAACUACGUG